AAUAUUGCGCAAUGGGGGUAACCCUGACGCAGCAACGCCGCGUGAGCGAAUAAGGCCUUCGGGUCGAAAAGCUCGUUCUAGAGGGAUGAUAGUGACAGUACCACUGGAGGCAGACUCGGCUAACAACGUUCCUGUAGCCGCGGUAAUACGUAGGGUGCAAGCGUUGUCCGGAUUUACUGGGCGUAAAGGGCUCGUAGGCGGUAGAUUAAGUCAGAAGUGAAAGUCCAGGGCUCAACCCUGGAAUUGCAUUUGAAACUGGUUUACUUGAGUGCAGGAGAGGAGAGCGGAAUUCCUAGUGUAGCGGUGAAAUGCGUAGAUAUUAGGAAGAACACCAGUGGCGAAGGCGGCUCUCUGGACUAUAACUGACGCUGAGGCGCGAAAGCGUGGGUAGCGAAC
This 396-nucleotide ribosomal RNA is filed under the name uncultured bacterium. Its description in RNAcentral is "partial 16S ribosomal RNA". It matches the Rfam family "Bacterial small subunit ribosomal RNA", at positions 360 to 773 of the family's 1533-position model. The record is from RNAcentral.